This 141-nucleotide ribosomal RNA is filed under the name uncultured bacterium. RNAcentral's name for it is "partial 16S ribosomal RNA". It matches the Rfam family "Bacterial small subunit ribosomal RNA", at positions 371 to 525 of the family's 1533-position model. The record is from RNAcentral.
AUGGGCGCAGCCUGAUGCAGCGACGCCGCGUGAGGGAUGACGGCCUUCGGGUUGUAAACCUCUUUCAGUAGGGAAGAAGCGAAAGUGACGGUACCUGCAGAAAAAGCCCCGGCUAACUACGUGCCAGCAGCCGCGGUAAUA